AGUUUUGGCCUGCAAAGACUUCCUUCUUUCGCCUCCACUACCCAACUCCUGUGAGGGACUCAGGCAUAGUUCGGGCAGAGACAGAAAGAGCGAGCGCGCGAAGAACUUUGGUAUCGAGGGAGAGCUCUUGUGACGCUACGAACCUCUCGAACACCUGACGACUGGGCGCCAGGGCCGGAUGGAUGGUGGAGAGCCACUGCGGCGCAGCUGCCUCCUCUUAACGGGGACACCUAGCAGGAAUGUGCGGAGUGGAGCUAAGGGGAGCGGAUAGAAACCGAGGGAGGGGAAGAGAGCGCGAAGGCUUGGCCGGAAGGAGAGGUUAAAAAGGAAAGGCCUAAAAUGAGGAAGAGAGUUACCACAACAAGCAGUACCUAGUUCCAGUUCUUGGUCCCAGGAGUUUGUGGUUGUUGCUGCUUUCAUCUUCCUCAGCCAACACAAAAGGAAAGUGCCAAGGGGCGAUUCCUAGGACCUUCAGUGCAGUCUCCACCUUGCGGACUUGGCUUAUUUGUGUGCACUCCUUUCUCCAGCCUUUUACACUUGAUGCUCUUGGAUG
RNAcentral lists this non-coding RNA (553 nucleotides) under Pongo abelii (Sumatran orangutan). The record is from RNAcentral. Lineage: Eukaryota; Metazoa; Chordata; Mammalia; Primates; Hominidae.